This 169-nucleotide ribosomal RNA is filed under the name uncultured Nitriliruptor sp. RNAcentral describes it as "partial 16S ribosomal RNA". It matches the Rfam family "Bacterial small subunit ribosomal RNA", at positions 338 to 523 of the family's 1533-position model. The record is from RNAcentral. Lineage: Bacteria; Bacillati; Actinomycetota; Nitriliruptoria; Nitriliruptorales; Nitriliruptoraceae.
GCUACGGAGGCAGCAGUGGAGAUCUUGCGCAUGGGCGAAAGCCUGACGCAGCCACGCCGCGUGCGGGAAGAAGGCCUUCGGGUCGUAAACCGCUUUCAGGAGGGGAGAGCGAAAGUGACGGUACCUCCAGAAGAAGGUCCGGCUAACUACGUGCCAGCAGCCGCGGUAA